GGGUCCGUAGCUCAGUCUGGCAGAGCACCGGGCUUUUACCAGCAAUACGCAGCUUGCAGCGACCUGUGUAGAAUAUGGCUCCAAUAUACACGUUUUAGUUGGUUCUGAAAGAUACCCGGCCGUCGUGGGUUCAAAUCCCACCGGACCCG
This 149-nucleotide transfer RNA is filed under the name Candidatus Nanosalina sp. J07AB43. It matches the Rfam family "tRNA". From Rfam's summary of the family: Transfer RNA (tRNA) molecules are approximately 80 nucleotides in length. Their secondary structure includes four short double-helical elements and three loops (D, anti-codon, and T loops). The record is from Rfam by way of RNAcentral. Lineage: Archaea; Methanobacteriati; Methanobacteriota; Candidatus Nanohaloarchaea.